AACGAACGCUGGCGGCAUGCCUAACACAUGCAAGUCGAACGAAGGCUUCGGGCUUAGUGGCGCACGGGUGCGUAACGCGUGGGAAUCUGCCCUUGGGUUCGGAAUAACGUCCCGAAAGGGAUGCUAAUACCGGAUGAUGUCGUAAGACCAAAGAUUUAUCGCCCUAGGAUGAGCCCGCGUCGGAUUAGCUAGUUGGUGAGGUAAAAGCCCACCAAGGCGACGAUCCGUAGCUGGUCUGAGAGGAUGAUCAGCCACACUGGGACUGAGACACGGCCCAGACUCCUACGGGAGGCAGCAGUGGGGAAUAUUGGACAAUGGGCGAAAGCCUGAUCCAGCAAUGCCGCGUGAGUGAUGAAGGCCUUAGGGUUGUAAAGCUCUUUUACCCGGGAUGAUAAUGACCGUACCGGGAGAAUAAGCUCCGGCUAACUCCGUG
RNAcentral lists this ribosomal RNA (433 nucleotides) under uncultured bacterium. Its description in RNAcentral is "partial 16S ribosomal RNA". It matches the Rfam family "Bacterial small subunit ribosomal RNA", at positions 29 to 507 of the family's 1533-position model. The record is from RNAcentral.